UAGACUAUUUGACACCACCAAUAGGCCGAGGCAGCUAUAAUGACAUCAUCCAGUUCAUGGAGGCGAGCGACAAGGCCCUCCAGGCGGGCCCCGCCCCCCAACCGGCCGCCCCCGCGCCCUUCAGCACCUACCCCGCGCGGUACUACGCAGGCUCCUCCCCCUCCGACGUGCCGCAAGACAUGUCGCUCAGCAACCUCAACUACAGCAUGGCCGGCGCCUACGGAACCCCCGACCGGCCCUCCAUGGAGGUGGACUACCACUGAGACAGGUGGGUCCCGCGGCGCCCCGGCUGACGUUGAGUUCUAUUAAUUUCACUCCGGGCACCGGCGCGAUAGAUUAUAACCGUAGGCUAAACUAGUUAUACGCACGCCGAUCCCUCACGAACAAUCACGAUUCUGUCGUUCCCGACCACCGAGCGAAUGAGACUCCAUGUGAUAAGACUUGUACAUAUAAACCGGCGAAUCGAAUCCUUGUAUAUUAUGAACCCGACUAGUAAUAGGAUACAUGCCAUUCGAAUAGGUUUACCGUAACGUAGGUGGUGGAUGUAUGGUUGCACACGGCCGCCGUAGGGCCACGUCUUUUUGUAUCGAUAUCUCUUCCUUCUCUAAAAUUAUGGUGUAAAUAUAAUUCGCAGACUGUUAAGAAAUAGGUAGUUGUGUUGAUCUUGGAAAUGGGUUAUGAAGUCUUAAUUAAAUUGAGAUAUUCCGAGUUUAAGCCACUGAACUGGCAAUAUAAAAGUGCAAAAAUAGUCGUGUAAGUGUAUAAUAGAUAUGUUUUCUUUUAUGUGAAUAUUGUGUCUGCACUUUUUGUAUCAUACCGCUCUGAGAGGGUUACGAUUUACUAGAGUAUUGUUCUAACGAGGCACAAUCCUUUAUUGUAAAUAAAUUUUAGCUAGUAUCAAUAGUUUGGUCUUUGUUGAGUAAAUUAGAGAUGAGUAGGCAUGGAUAAUUUAAUUCGAUCGUUUGAGAUUCCGUAUAAGCCGCCCGCGCGGGACUAAUGUACAAACGGCGCCGGAGGCUCCUCGGAGCCGCGGCGUGCGGUAGAUAAUUACUGAAUAGGGAAAAUUAUGAUGUUGGAUUUUUAACCGCUAGUUGUUAGAACUAGGCAGCGAACGAAGAUAGAUAGAAUUAUUAUUCCUUGGUCUAGUGUCUUGUUUCCGAGAGACUUCCGUUCACGACCUGACUGAUUGUCCGAUAGGAUAUUUCGAGUUUUAUUUUUGAUCGUUGGUUAGGUUACUAAUUUUUUAAAAUUUUAUUAAUAUGCUAAGGCACAUGAACUACUUAAUCUUGAAUUCUGUUUGCACUUUUGAUGGUGUUUUCUAUAUCAACGAUGAAAUGAAGUUUAUGGAUAGUGUUAUUGUGGAUAUUAAUCGAAAGCUAUCAAUUUACCUGAGAUUUGUUACAAAAUAUAUGACUUUUUAAUACCUGAGCUGGCUCGAUGACAGUUCCACUGUAUGUGGAGUGAUGUUUUUAAAUAUUUUGUAACGAAAUUGUUUCGCGGUGGACUGGGUUGCUUUCUGUUGUGUCGUGGUGUAACGGGUAUUGACAGUUCUUGCGCCUUAUUCACAUGGAGAUUUGAUGAGAGUGUUAUUAUUACGUUAUAUCAAAUUGUGGCUAUAGACGUAAUAUAUUGAUAAUUUUACUAUAUUGCAUGUACAUUGGAUUCCAAAACGUUUUUUACAGAAUAAUGACAUUAUUAUAAAAACUGAUGUCGAAGAAGUUAUGUUAUAAUCGACGCGACCUCAGUGUGGUCUAAGGACAUGUACCCAUAGAUACAGCCCUGCUACACAUUUCUAAAGCGCAUACUCAAGAGAAACCUAGUUACGGUAUUUUCGAAUUUACCGAUUCCAGAACGUUUACUGUCAUUGCUUUCUCCAUAAAACCAUGUCACAAGAUUGUAGCUGGGCUGCAGUUUGUUUCAGUCAAGCCAGUGCCGAUGGAAGAACGACAUGUCAGAAAUGCGAAAUCGUCAAUUUUGUAUGGAUUACAUCAGUUUUUCGCAAUUUUGCCCUUCGUUUUUUAUUAGCACCAGCUUGCUUGAAACCAACUAUACCUCGUAAUUCCGUUUCACGCGGUGUGACCUAAUAUCUGGGCUAUCACGUAAUAUGGUUUUCUAACGGAUAAGGGCUGUGGCACUCAACCGAACGGUUCACCUAUGUAGAAAAUCACGUAUGUGAUUGUCUAGUUUGAACUGGAUGACGUUCAUCACAAAUUACGAGUGUUAAUUCUCAUUAGCUUAUUUGUUAACGGGUCAACCGCAUUUGGAUGUGUGCCCUAGCCCUUACUGGAUAAUAGAACUACUGUCAGGAGUUAAAUUAUGCAGUAAAUUCGUUAUUCUUUAAAUGUUAACCCAGAUAUUAGCAUCUCAUAACUGCAUAAAAAACGAUAUUUUCAGACAGCUUUACUAUUUUUUAAGGGUUUUGUUAUAAUAAUUUCCGAUAAGUGUUUGUACGCGGUUGUAUCUAAGAAUUUAUAACGAUAAUUUGUGGGGUUUUAUUUUUUAUUUAAAAGACUAGGGACUUUACGUGUUCUUUUGUACAGCUAUAUUGAACCUUAUUGCCUAAAUUAUAUUUACGUAACUUAUUGAUCUAUGUAUGUACUAUGUGUAGCUCUAAAUUGCAUUUCGUUAUGAAAAUUCAUCUUUUAUAUCACAUCUGUGUUUUGAAUAUAAUAUGUUGUUUUAGACUAUCGCCAGAGUUUGAUAUCUUGAGAAAUUAUUAUUGUAUAUGUAACGUGUAAUUAUGUUAUAAAGUAUUACGUGUAAUUAUUAAAAGAAGACAAUUUAAAUAA
This is a long non-coding RNA of Ostrinia nubilalis (European corn borer), 2789 nucleotides long. RefSeq lists it as uncharacterized. The transcript has 2 exons. Lineage: Eukaryota; Metazoa; Arthropoda; Insecta; Lepidoptera; Crambidae. The record is from RefSeq and is a predicted model, not a curated record.